RNAcentral lists this ribosomal RNA (492 nucleotides) under uncultured bacterium. RNAcentral describes it as "partial 16S ribosomal RNA". It matches the Rfam family "Bacterial small subunit ribosomal RNA", at positions 29 to 507 of the family's 1533-position model. The record is from RNAcentral.
AGUGAACGCUGGCGGUAGGCCUAACACAUGCAAGUCGAACGGCAGCACAGUAAGAGCUUGCUCUUAUGGGUGGCGAGUGGCGGACGGGUGAGGAAUACAUCGGAAUCUACUUUUUCGUGGGGGAUAACGUAGGGAAACUUACGCUAAUACCGCAUACGACCUACGGGUGAAAGCAGGGGAUCUUCGGACCUUGCGCGAUUGAAUGAGCCGAUGUCGGAAUAGCUAGUUGGCGGGGUAAAGGCCCACCAAGGCGACGAUCCGUAGCUGGUCUGAGAGGAUGAUCAGCCACACUGGAACUGAGACACGGUCCAGACUCCUACGGGAGGCAGCAGUGGGGAAUAUUGGACAAUGGGCGCAAGCCUGAUCCAGCCAUACCGCGUGGGUGAAGAAGGCCUUCGGGUUGUAAAGCCCUUUUGUUGGGAAAGAAAAGCAGCAGGUUAAUACCCCGCUGUUCUGACGGUACCCAAAGAAUAAGCACCGGCUAACUUCGUG